Molecule: ribosomal RNA, 468 nt
Filed under: uncultured bacterium
Lineage: Bacteria
Description: partial 16S ribosomal RNA
Rfam family: Bacterial small subunit ribosomal RNA
Source: RNAcentral
GACGAACGCUGGCGGCGUGCUUAACACAUGCAAGUCGAACGGAAAGGCCCUGCUUUUGUGGGGUGCUCGAGUGGCGAACGGGUGAGUAACACGUGAGUAACCUGCCCUUGACUUUGGGAUAACUUCAGGAAACUGGGGCUAAUACCGGAUAGGAGCUCCUGCUGCAUGGUGGGGGUUGGAAAGUUUCGGCGGUUGGGGAUGGACUCGCGGCUUAUCAGCUUGUUGGUGGGGUAGUGGCUUACCAAGGCUUUGACGGGUAGCCGGCCUGGGAGGUUGACCGGCCACAUUGGGACUGAGAUACGGCCCAGACUCCUACGGGAGGCAGCAGUGGGGAAUAUUACACAAUGGGCGGAAGCCUGAUGCAGCAGCGCCGCGUGCGGGAUGACGGCCUUCGGGUUGUAAACCGCUUUCGCCUGUGACGAAGCGUGAGUGGCGGUAAUGGGUAAAGAAGCACCGGCUAACUACGUG